GAUGAACGCACAAGACGUGCCUAACACAUGCAAAUCGAAUGAACCCAAUAAUUAAUUAUUGGGUUCAUGGUGAACGGGUGAGUAACACAUAAGAAUCAGCUUUUAGAUAAGGCAUAAAAGAGUAAUAUCUUGGUAAUUCCUUAUAUGCGCAGCAGUGCUUAAAAAGGGGACUCCCGUCUAAAAACGAGCUUAUGCCUGAUUAGCUAGUUGGCGAGUUAAAAGCUCACCAAGGCGAAGAUCAGUAGCUGGCCUGAGAGGGCGGCCAGCCACAUUGGGACUGAGACACGGCCCAAACUCCUACGGGAGGCAGCAGUGAGGAAUAUUGGACAAUAGGCGAAAGCCUGAUCCAGCGACGUCACGUGAAUGAUGAAGGCCUUAGGGUUGUAAAAUUCUUUUAGUGGAGAAGAUAAUGACGGUAUCCACAGAAAAAGUCCCGGCUAACUUCGUGCCAGCAGCCGCCGUAAAAC
RNAcentral lists this ribosomal RNA (467 nucleotides) under uncultured bacterium. RNAcentral describes it as "bacterial SSU rRNA". It matches the Rfam family "Bacterial small subunit ribosomal RNA", at positions 28 to 526 of the family's 1533-position model. The record is from RNAcentral.